This is a long non-coding RNA of Cimex lectularius (bed bug), 539 nucleotides long. RefSeq lists it as uncharacterized. NCBI's taxonomy places the organism in Eukaryota, Metazoa, Arthropoda, Insecta, Hemiptera, Cimicidae. The transcript has 4 exons. The record is from RefSeq and is a predicted model, not a curated record.
CAGAAAUUGAACUAAGCAAAAAAUUGGGGGAAAGGUUGUAGAUCGAUUGUUUAACUUUUUUACUAAAUCGAUACCACACACGAUUCCCCGCGUUAUAGUCUCCAUCUUGACAUUUCUGUGCUCGCUCUCGUCAAGUGAAAAUUCUCCCGUUGAAUUCAAGUUUAUUUGGUACUCUGUGAUCUAUCGUCACCAAUGGAGCAGCUAUGUAGGAUAUUUACCUUAGUAAAUCAGGGGUCGCCGAUACAGAAGUUUCGAGUUUGAUGAUGUUCGCCAAAAAACUUUUUAUUUGACGUUCCACUCACUUUGGCGGAACCGGUUGGAAAUCAAAGUUGCCCACACCCACUCCCUCCCUUUCUGAAAAGGAAGGACCGGGUUAAAAAGCGGAUGGGCCCUAAUAAGGCCGUGAUAGGACGCGUUUGAUAUUUGGACAUUGGAAGCGCCUCAGUUUAACAUAAAGGAUCAAUUGGACGGAGGUCUGUACGCGUCUUGGAGCGUCUUGAGCGGCUUGAAAUGUUCGCCGAACUUCUCCUCUGGUAUGA